GCCUUCGUGGUGUAGCGGUCAGCACGCUGGGCAUGUAUUCCAGAAGUAGGUGGUUCGAGUCCCGGCGAAAGCG
Molecule: transfer RNA, 73 nt
Filed under: Stegodyphus mimosarum
Lineage: Eukaryota; Metazoa; Arthropoda; Arachnida; Araneae; Eresidae
Rfam family: tRNA
About the family: Transfer RNA (tRNA) molecules are approximately 80 nucleotides in length. Their secondary structure includes four short double-helical elements and three loops (D, anti-codon, and T loops).
Source: Rfam by way of RNAcentral